GACCUACGGGACGCAGCAGUGGGGGAUAUUGCACAAUGGGGGGAACCCUGAUGCAGCGACGCCGCGUGGGUGAAGGAGCGUUUCGGCGCGUAAAGCCCUAUCGGCAGGGAAGAAGAUGACGGUACCUGACCAAGAAGCCCCGGCUAACUAUGUGCCAGCAGCCGCGGUAAUACGUAGGGGGCAAGCGUUAUCCGGAUUUACUGGGUGUAAAGGGAGCGUAGACGGUUACGCAAGUCUGGAGUGAAAGGCGGGGGCCCAACCCCCGGACUGCUUUGGAAACUGUAUAACUGGAGUGCAGGAGAGGG
RNAcentral lists this ribosomal RNA (305 nucleotides) under uncultured bacterium. Its description in RNAcentral is "bacterial SSU rRNA". It matches the Rfam family "Bacterial small subunit ribosomal RNA", at positions 335 to 658 of the family's 1533-position model. The record is from RNAcentral.